Molecule: long non-coding RNA, 2104 nt
Organism: Helicoverpa armigera (cotton bollworm)
Lineage: Eukaryota; Metazoa; Arthropoda; Insecta; Lepidoptera; Noctuidae
Exons: 2
Source: RefSeq, a predicted model, not a curated record
UUUGGAUAUAUUUUAGAUAUCUAAUUUCAUAUGUUAUAAUUUUUAAUAGUAAAAUAAUUUGUUCAAUUGAUUCACCAAACGAAAUAAUUUAAAAAUGACAUUUUCCGUUUGGAGGUAACAGCUAGCAACACUUGGCAAAUGGCGGGAUUCUGAGCGGAGCACCGUACCGUGCGGUCGUGCAAGCGAGAUUGUGUUGAAAAGAAUAAAGAUUGAUAGUCUGUUGAAAGUGUUGACGUUUUCUUGGAGAGGAGUCCUAUACCUUGGAGUGGAGUUCUUACAUUUCAGAAGUGGGAUACAGCGCAAAUACUGCGUAAGUACACGUCUUCUAUUUUUGUUUAGAUUAUGCGUUAGCCAUUUGAAUUUGGAAUUGACGUAUUGGAUAUUUUAAAUAAAUUAUUAUUUUUAUACCAAUUUGGUGGGCAAAUUCACGUGAAAAGGUUUAUGUAUUUCAAGGCACACCAACAACUUAUUUACAAUUGCUUACGCAUAUAUAAGUUUACAAUUGUUAGUCCUGUGUAAAUAAGUCAGUUACAGGUGUGCACAAUGCUCACAGAGAAUAGUGUGAUCGGUUGCCAAAAAGCCUAGCCCUUAAGCCAAUAGGUUGGCAUAGAAUUAAUUUAAUUUCAAUGUUUUUGUGUCUAAGUUAUUAUUUAUUUGGUGGUUAAAAAUACAGAUACCAUGCCGUUCUCUAAGAUGAUUUUUUUUUUUGGUUAAACCACGUUUUUACGAAAGUACCCUCAAAUAAUUUUAAUCCUCGUUUUUAUAAAACCACCCAAAAAACAAAAUAUAUAGCUCAAUAGAUAGCUAAUUUGGCACAACUGGGUAUAUAAAAGGGUGUGAUUUCUCAGUUAUUUUUACGAUCAGAGAUACCGUUUCCAAGAUAUUUACGAUUUUGUCUAUUCAUCUAAGUAUCCUAUUAUUUUGCUAUUGUGAAUAGAUCUAACGUGAGUUAUUUUUAUGUGAGUUGCCAGACCAGAUAAUGGAUGCCACCGGCAGCUGGACUCAGCACAGGCUGGAGAUGCCGGAAAGAGAGUCGCCGCGAAGCAACCACACUGGCAGUCGAAGCGGAAGUCGCAGUCGACGUCUGGGAGAGCAAGAGAGGAGCGCGAGCCAGCAAAGAUCAGCGCCGCACUGCCACGAUGGGCACCAGGAUGUCAACCAGAAACAGCAACCAUCACGAAGAUAUCGCUCCUCGACUCUAAGAAGUGAUUGGUUUAAAGAUUCGAGAGAGAAAUUCGUCACGAGUCGUCGAGAAUUGACUGGUUUGAAGCACAUGCAGAUGAGUUUUUGGUGUAAGUCCUUUAGAAAUGAAUGGUUAAAGGCAUUCUAGUUUCUCCUUCAGAAAUGAAUGGUUGAAGGAGUUCGUCUAGUUGAAACCCUCAGAAAUGAAUGGUUGAGGGAUAGGAAGUCCUCGAGAAUUGAUUGGUUCGAGGCACAUGAUGAGUUUAUGUUGUAAUUCCUUCAGAAAUGAAUGGUUGAAGGAGUUAGCAUUAGUGUCCUGACUGUGGUGUCUCAAUCAAUAUAUUUAUGCCAAUAUAAUAUAUGUAAGGCUUAUUAAUGUUAAUGAUUAUUUCACAGAUACAGUGUUGUUUUUUUUGCUUUAAUUUUUGUGAUAUAAUUUGAAACGAUGUUGAAUUGUAUAAGUUGUAAUUCAAUUAUAAUUAAAUUGUAAUAGACAGCUGUGUUGCUGGGAAGUUUGUUCUUCGCCACUUCUUCUUCCCAGCCAUAACACUAGGAAGUGGUGAAAGGGGGGCGUUUUGGGGGUGCUGUCCUUUUAUGAAUUUUGUAAAAUAUCGCUAUUGGCCAAGUGUAAGGUUAUAUAGCCCACCUAGUACGUGUAUGGGGACAUACACGAGGUCAGGAUGGACGAGUGUAAGGUUUGGAUAUAUUUUAGAUAUCUAAUUUCAUAUGUUAUAAUUUUUAAUAGUAAAAUAAUUUGUUCAAUUGAUUCACCAAACGAAAUAAUUUAAAAAUGACAUUUUCCGUUUGGAGGUAACAGCUAGCAACACUUGGCAAAUGGCGGGAUUCUGAGCGGAGCACCGUACCGUGCGGUCGUGCAAGCGAGAUUGUGUUGAAAAGAAUAAAGAUUGAUAGUCUGUUGAAA